ACGGGAGGCAGCAGUGAGGAAUAUUGGUCAAUGGGCGGAAGCCUGAACCAGCCAAGUCGCGUGAAGGAAGACGGUAUUAUGUAUUGUAAACUUCUUUAGACGCAGAGAAAUAAGGGGCUCGCGAGCUCUGAUGCUAGUAUGCGUAGAAUAAGGAUCGGCUAACUCCGUGCCAGCAGCCGCGGUAAUACGGAGGAUGCGAGCGUUAUCCGGAUUUAUUGGGUUUAAAGGGUGCGUAGGCGGGAUGUUAAGUCAGCGGUGAAAGCGUGUAGCUCAACUAUACCGAGCCGUUGAAACUGGCGUUCUUGAGUGUAAACGAGGUAGGCGGAAUGUGACAUGUAGCGGUGAAAUGCUUAGAUAUGUCACAGAACUCCGAUUGCGAAGGCAGCUUACCAGCAUACGACUGACGCUGAGGCACGAAAGCGUGGGUAUCAAACAGGAUUAGAUACCCUGGUA
This 453-nucleotide ribosomal RNA is filed under the name uncultured Porphyromonadaceae bacterium. RNAcentral describes it as "bacterial SSU rRNA". It matches the Rfam family "Bacterial small subunit ribosomal RNA", at positions 341 to 792 of the family's 1533-position model. Lineage: Bacteria; Pseudomonadati; Bacteroidota; Bacteroidia; Bacteroidales; Porphyromonadaceae. The record is from RNAcentral.